GUAUCUGGCGUACUUAACCUAAUUUCCGCAGUCUUAGGCUUCGGUGGCAUUUAUCACACACUUCUGGGACCCGAGACUCUUGAGGAAUCUUUUCCAUUCUUUGGUUAUGUCUAGAAAGAUAGAAAUAAAAUUACUACAAUUUUGGGUAUCCACUUAAUUUCGUUAGGUCUAUGUGAUUUUCUUCUAGCACUCAAGGCUCUUUAUUUUGGCGGUGUAUAGGAUACAUGGGCCUUGGGUGUGGGGGGUGUAAGAAAAAUUACCAAUUUGACCCUUAGUCCCAUUCUUAUAUUUGGAUAUUUACUACAAUCUCUGUUUGGGGGAGAAGGCGAGUAG
RNAcentral lists this ribosomal RNA (333 nucleotides) under Triticum aestivum (bread wheat). RNAcentral describes it as "partial small subunit ribosomal RNA". Lineage: Eukaryota; Viridiplantae; Streptophyta; Magnoliopsida; Poales; Poaceae. The record is from RNAcentral.